GGCGCAGGCCCCGCGCGUCAGUUACCGCUGCCCACCCACCGGGCACACUUUCAACACAGGUGCUGCGCCGGAUGAUCCCAAGAGCAGCAAACAAAUAAUAAACCCCUCCAGGCAUACGCGAGAGCACUCUAGUCUCGAGCACAGCACAAGGCCGCCGGUCCCUUCUCUCCCACUCCCACUACUCGCGCUCGCCGCUGGAUCCUCCACCCGCCGCGGCGCCAGGCCGGAGAUCCAGCAGCUGGGACCACGGAGGUCGGCCGGUUGCUCCGUUCCCGCUGGUGGUUGCUCUUCGGCCGCUGGAGAUCGGCAGACGGAAGCAGUUGACGCCACAGGGCUUCGUGCUGCCGAAUUCCCCAGAUAUUCUGGGGGUUCAACCGAACCCCCAUGCCCGACAACACUGGGCUUGAAAUUGGCCUUAAAGGCUCCAAGGGAGCCCCAAUGCCAGGAACGGAAGGAAGAGUGGCAAAGGAUUUGAAGAAAGCUCCUGCCUCCUUGGAGGAAAGCAAUGCUUCUCGUGAUGAGGAUCCUGGCGGAGGGCCUGCCUUGACUGGGAAGAAAAGGAAGGACCGGAGGGGUUCCGCGGAUGACAACAGGAAUGUGACAAGAAGGGUGUUGAGGUCCGACGCCAUGAAGCUGCGUGCUGAGGCUGAGGCACCAUGUGGAGCGGGUGUGGAGGUUAGCAAAACUGAUAGUUUGGAGAGGAAACACUGUGACACUACUGUGGAGGCUGAGGCUUGCAAAAGUAGUGUGCUGAUGGAAGUUGCCUGCAAUGGUGGGGAAGCCAACGGAUUAGUUAACUUGGAUGCGAGCGAUGUUUCGGAAGAAUCAACUAGGUGUUCUGAUAAUAAUAUGGGAAUGCCUGGUGUUCCUGCAACAGAUUUUUCUCAAGAUGGUGGCUUAGCUCAAGGUAGCAUUGCAGAAUCAGAUGAUAAGACAGUCAAGUCAGAUGAGGUGUCCGCUGUAACUCAUUCAGAGCAGAAUGACUCCCAAGCUGGAAUAAACAGUUAUAAUGCUGAUGAGGCCCAAGAUAACAAAGUGAGACAUGGGCCUUGUCAGGAUGAGGUCAUAGACUCAGCAAUUACUAAUGGUGCCAACACAAGUACAGAUUUAACCAAAACCAGCCCUACCAGUGGAUCAGAAUCUGUUAAGCAGGAUGAUAGUAAGCAGGAGAAUAAUUUGGUUCAUACUGAAGGAGUGAUACUCCACAGUGGUGAUCCGAAAGUUGAGAAUCAUUCUCAAAUUGAGGACACUUGUACAGAAACUGAGAUUUCUUUGACUGGGAAUGGAAGAUGUGCAGCUGAUAACCACACUGAUCGAACUGGGUACACUAAGCAGGAGGAGAGGGGCAGCCCUGUGAACGAAACCAAUGAUAUUUCGGCACAUGACAUUGUUUUUACAAGGAGAGGUAGAAAAUCAUGUGAGGCAAAGCAGGGGACAUGUGAAGAGGAGUCACGGUUUGAGAAGCGAGUUACGAGAUCAGCUACAGUUAGACAGAGAGAAGUUUCUGGAAGCUUAUGCAAAACUACCACGAAUGAGACUGCACUAGGAAGCAGAGGGAGGAAGGGAGAUAUUAUUGCUCACUAUACAAGGAAAGUGAGCAGUGCAGUAUCUCCAAAAGGUCACCAUGCUGAGCUGGGAGAAUGUAAUACCAGUAUGGAGAAUCAAACAGUGAAACAAAAGGUGGUUGAUCGAAGAGAUUCAGGUGCCACUAAGAAUGAUAAUGAUGCGAAUGACACAAAGAAUAAGGAAUCAGAAAAGACAGAGAUCAAUCUGAAGACGCAACCACCUGUUGGAAGUGUUAGCAUUGUAAAUAAAACAACUGUAGGAGCUGUUUCUGUGGUGGGUCAGAGUAUCUCUGGUUCAGCCAUCACUGAGAGAAAUGAUACAGAUCAUACUGAUUCUGAUGGAGUUAAAUAUGAAAAUAUGACUCUUGUGCAGAAACUACUACUGUCUGUUGGCGCGAAGAUUGUUGCCAGCAAGAAGAGGGUAUUGGAAGCAGGUCCUGAUAAAACCACUGGAAGGUCACCAAUUGCUUUGCCAUCCAUGAAAAAGACAAGAAAUACGUCUUCUGAUCCUGAGAUAGAUCAACCUGAUAAGUCUUCUGGAGAGAAGCUUAUUGGAAAUAACUGUGAUUUGGGCAAUAAACGUGUUUUGAGGGAACGGCAGCAUCAGAAUCAAACAUAUUUGUCAAGCAGGUCUUCUAACCAGUCUAAUCAAAAUGCUAUCAAGCAGACACAGGAUCAAUCUGACGAUGAUGACAUCAGCAGCGAUACUUCCUACAGGAGAACUCGUAGCGGACGUCGUCGUGGUGCUGCCCGUCUUGCCGUGCCAAAACAAGAGGACUCCAGUGAUUCUGAAGAAGUUGUUGUUGUGAAAAAGAAUCGACGGAAACGUAAGAAAUCUGUGCAUAAACACAGGGCUGGAUCUAAGUUGAAGCAUACUUCUGGUAGUCCUCCCAAAACAGGUCGUUUGGGUAGACCUCCACUUGUCAAAUCUGAAUGUGGCUGCUUACCUCUGCAGCCAGGAAAAGGGAAAAUGAAUGUGCCUGAAGGUACAGGAGCUCUACGCGAAGAAAAACAAAAAAUAAGUGAUCAGAUAAAGGCCAUGCUUCUAGAUGCUGGUUGGACAAUUGAUUUAAGACCCAGGAAUGGUAGAAACUACAUGGAUUCCGUGUAUAUACAUCCUAGUGGCAAAGGGUCUUACUGGUCAGUUACAAAAGCAUAUUACGUGUUCCGUGCAGAUAUGGAAUCUGAGCAGAAGGAAAGUUCUAAAGACCAUAUUCUGUCAAAAAAAUCUGUUGGUAGCCCCGGCAAAAGGCAGGUCUCUAGUUCUUCAGGCUGUACUUUAACAGAUGAUAUCCUUAGCAAAUUAAAAAGAGUUGUUGUAAACAAACGAACAACCAAAGUAGAGAUUCAAAGGUUGAGACAGAAGAAGGAAAAGAAGAAUACUACAAAUUCAACAAGAUUGCAUUUAGGCAAUGAAAGAAAAAAGAGAGGUGGCUGUGCUCUACUCGUUCGUGGAUCGAACAAGGAGUCUGGCAGCACCACUGAUGGUUUUGUUCCAUAUGAAUGGAAACGUACGAUCUUCUCCUGGCUGAUUGAUCUGAAUGUUCUAUCAGUCAAUACUAAGCUGAACUGUUUGGAUGAAAGCCACUCAAAGGUUUUACUAGAGGGUUUUGUCACUAGGGAUGGGAUUAACUGCAGCUGCUGUAGCGAGGUCAUUUCAGUGCCAGAAUUUGUGACUCAUGCUGGUUCUGAAGUAAAUAAGCCAUACAGAAACAUACUUGUGGAUGGGCUAGACAUUGACCUUUUGCACUGUCUCAUUAAUGCAUGGAAUAUGCAGUCUGAUGCUGAAAGACAAGAUUUCUUUCCCGUUAGCAUUGAGGGAGAUGACCCCAAUGAUGACACCUGUGGUAUUUGUGGAGAUGGAGGCAAUUUGAUCUGUUGUGAUGGAUGCCCCUCGACAUUUCACAUGAGUUGUCUAGGACUGGAGGCACUUCCCACUGAUUAUUGGUGUUGUUCCAACUGCUCAUGUAAAUUUUGCCAUGAACAUUCUAGUGAUGAUGCUGAAGACACUGCUGAUGUUGAUUCUUCAUUGCAUACUUGUUCCCAGUGCGAAGAGCAGUAUCAUGGAGCCUGCUCUCCUGAUAUUGAUUCCAUAGCUACUAAUCUUUCUAGUCAGACAGGCAAUUUAUUCUGCCAACAAAGCUGCAGACUGGUAUCCUUUCCAUGACUUCUGCUGCGGACGAUGUACGCACAUGGCGUGAGGAGCUCGCUCGUGCCAGGGCAGAUCUGGAGCAGGCCCGAUCUGCUAUCCUCCAGCUAGUGAUCUACUCACGGCAAAGGUGGAGUCUGACUGCCGAUCAGCGGCGACAACGCGACUGCAGGAGGCUGUGCAUGGGUUCCUGGCGUGACGUCCAGUGUGGCAGCGGCUUGCCGUCUUCAGGCUACGACACGUGGCUUCCUGGCGCGGCGUCAAGCACAGCAAGCAGCGGCUUGCCCUCUUCAGGUUGCGGCACUUGGCUUCCUGACGUGGCGUCAAGCACGACAAGCGGCAACACGGUUGCAGGCUACGGUCCGCCGUUCCCUGGUGCAGCGACUUGCAUCGGUAUUGCGCGUUGAACAACACGCGGCACGUGGGGCGACAAGGCCUUCAGCAGGGUUGGCCGAUCCUUAGCCAUGUGGACAGCAAGAACAAGUCUGGUUGGGUGGUGCUGUCUCCACUGGAACUCGCGGUAGCUCAGGCCGUAAGACUGGUGAGCUGCCACGUCUUGGCCUUUGCAGCCUGGAAGAGGUUGUUCCCAUGGGAUCCAGGGUGGCAUAUGUUAGGUUCUUUAUUUUAUUUGUUAAUAAAUUAAAGCGGAGAUGUAAAAGGCUUAUAGUUAGGGUUGCACUUUCACAUGCAUAUCAAGUUAGACAGCAAGGUUGUUUCCAUGCACCGAGAACGAGCUGUCUUCAAAGGGUGGGGGAAUGUCAUGUGGUGGCAGCCCAGGGCAUGGAGGCCCAUAGGGAUAGGCUCAGGGUUAGGAUUAGUGAAUAAAGAUUAGAUAAGAUUGACUUAGAUACUUGGGAUUAGAUUAGAUAAAAUAAGAUUGAGUUAGUUACUUGAGAGCCGAGUCUUCGUAUCUAUACAAGGAUGGGCUGUACCUCCUUAAGAAGAAAAAGGAAUGAAGAAGAAUUAGUCCCAGAUCUCUCCAAUAGUCUGGUCUCUCUCAAGCCGACUCCGCCUGACUACCUUCCGGCGCUGUUUAUCACCCCUAUGAACUAGGAUUCAAAACAUAUUUGAACUAUUAUUUAGUGACUUGAGAACCUUGUCAUUUUAAUCCAGCUAUUAAAAGCUCUACUCUUCUUUUGGAUUGAGUCGCUAUAUUUUUAUUUCUGAAACUAGACAGUUGGUAUUUAGUCAUAAGAAAUGUGUAAUGCAAAAACACCAUGGAAGUUGUGUAUUUUUGAAAAUGCUGUAUUAAACACUAUUUUUUACCAUCAAAUCAAACACACAUCCUGUCUAGAUCCUUUCUAUCUAUUUGUGGUUUUAUUUAUCUUCUAGUUUAUUAAUGUAUGUAUACCCUCCCUACAAGCCGCAACUGACCCAAGAACUUCCAAACUUCAAAUGGUAUAGUUGCAUAAUCUGAAAUUACUAGUUCUGUGAUGCAGCUGUUUGAGGAAUUGCAGAAUCUUCUCGCAGUCAAGAAGGAUCUUGAACCAGAAUACUCAUGCAGAGUUGUUCAACGCAUCCAUGAAGAGGUACCAGAAGAAGUCCUUGCUUUGGACAAAAGAGUUGAGUGUAACUCCAAGAUUGCUGUUGCACUCUCAUUAAUGGACGAGUGCUUCCUUCCGAUUGUUGACCAGAGAACUGGCAUCAACUUGAUACGCAAUGUUGUGUAUAACUGUGGAUCAAAUUUUGCCCGAUUGGAUUUCCGUGGAUUCUAUAUAAUUAUUUUAGAACGUGGAGAUGAAAUAAUAGCUGCAGCAUCUGUCCGAAUACAUGGAACCAAGUUAGCUGAGAUGCCGUUCAUUGGUACCCGGAAUAUGUAUAGGCGACAAGGGAUGUGCCGCCGACUUGUUGAUGGAAUUGAAAUGAUCCUCAGCUCUCUCAAUAUUGAGAAGCUGAUCAUUCCUGCUAUCACAGAACUUGUGGACACCUGGACAUCUAAAUUUGGAUUUAGUCCACUGGACGAUUCUGAGAAGCAGGAAGUGAAAUCCGUUAGCAUGUUAGUUUUUCCUGGUACAGGUCUUCUCCAAAAGCCAUUGCUGAAGACCUCACCAUCGGAAGAUCAAUGCUCCCAAGGAGACAAAACUGAAAAAUCAUCUGAUGUAGUCAAUGAAGAUUCGCUUUGCUCUGGUGCAAGUGCCGACCCCCUAGGUUCGGUGGUCAAAGAGCAUGGGGACACCAGCAAAGAUGCCGAUGGUACUUGCAACGGUGAUGUUUCACAGCGAUCUCCUCUUUCCUGAUGGUAAGAUUUGGUUGCAGCUUUCUGGGCCCCCCCAAGCUUUAUAUGGACGAAACCUCCGUUUGUUUUUGUACCUCUCGAGUUUUGACUCAGCAGCCAGCAUGACAACCAUCCGUUUGGCAGAAAGAGGCUUCCGGUUUUUUGCAGAUUAGUUGCCGGGGCACCCCUGUAGUUGUACUCAGAAUUUGACCAUUGACUCGUCGGCCUGGGAAAAGAAUCAGCCCGUGCAGUACUGAAAAGCGUUUACUCCAACCAGGAACCAGCUAACUUACUGUGCAGCUGAAAAGUCAGUAUGCAGAAUGUGGAGGAUAAUAUCACUUCUUUUGUUUUUUUUUGGUCGUUAACUUAGAACUCCGAGGGCGAGUCGUCGUAAAUGUUACACCAGUUGUUAUUUUGUUAAUAGCUUUUUUUUUAAAAAUGUUUUCGCUAGCGCAUUCCUAGAACCUUCUCAUUUCUGUAAGAUAGUUCUCGCCUCUGUAAGAUAAACUAAUGUAUGCGCAAGCUAGAAAUAGUCCGCCUGAUCCGUCACGCGGAAUUGGUUACCUAAACCCUGUUAAUGUUUCGUUU
Molecule: RNA transcript, 6517 nt
Organism: Zea mays
Lineage: Eukaryota; Viridiplantae; Streptophyta; Magnoliopsida; Poales; Poaceae
Exons: 11
Source: RefSeq, a predicted model, not a curated record